Molecule: long non-coding RNA, 576 nt
Filed under: Trifolium pratense (red clover)
Lineage: Eukaryota; Viridiplantae; Streptophyta; Magnoliopsida; Fabales; Fabaceae
Description: long non-coding RNA (TPRA_LNC008474)
Source: RNAcentral
UAAAUACCCCAAGCUUCACAUAUUUGCUCACUUUCUCUUUUCUUUCUCUCUCUACACUCACUCAGUCUCUCAAAAUUCUCUCUUCUCUCCCUCAAGAACACGGUUGUGUUCAUACGAACCCUGAUUCCGGCGGCGGUGCCACCGCGCCGACCCCCCAAAUUACCCAAAAAGACCCCAAAUCACUUUCUAAACACUUCUCUAACAGUUCUAAAACACGAAAUCAAAACAAGAAGAAGAUUCAGAAUAAAAAACCUUAUAUCCGCCUCUGUCUUUACUUUCUUGCUGCUUCUCCUUCUUUUUGUUUCUUGUUCUAUUCUUUCUUUUUUAUUUUAUAAAAAAAUAUGGUGAUGGUUGUCUGGUGUUUUUGGUGAUGAUGGUGAUGAAUGAGUUGAAGGAGGUGAUUAGGAGUGGAAGUGAAGUGGUGUUUAUGGUUGUAAUAUAGUUUAUUGAUGAUUAUCGGUGAUAGAAAAAAAAGGAGAAGUAGUGAUGUGUUUUUUUCUCUAAUCUUUACAUUUUGCUACUGAUUUUUUUUGUUUGUUCUCUAUGUGUCCUUGUGAAUGAAACUGAAGGCUUGUU